This 442-nucleotide ribosomal RNA is filed under the name uncultured bacterium. RNAcentral's name for it is "partial 16S ribosomal RNA". It matches the Rfam family "Bacterial small subunit ribosomal RNA", at positions 338 to 795 of the family's 1533-position model. The record is from RNAcentral.
CCUACGGGGGGCAGCAGUGGGGAAUAUUGGGCAAUGGGCGCAAGCCUGACCCAGCAACGCCGCGUGAAGGAAGAAGGCUUUCGGGUUGUAAACUUCUUUUGUCAGGGAAGAGUAGAAGACGGUACCUGCCGAAUAAGCCACGGCUAACUACGUGCCAGCAGCCGCGGUAAUACGUAGGUGGCAAGCGUUGUCCGGAUUUACUGGGUGUAAAGGGCGUGUAGCCGGGUUGACAAGUCAGAUGUGAAAUCCUGCGGCUUAACCGCAGAACUGCAUUUGAAACUGUUGAGCUUGAGUGCGGGAGAGGCAGACGGAAUUCCUAGUGUAGCGGUGAAAUGCGUAGAGAUUAGGAGGAACACCAGUGGCGAAGGCGGUCAGCUGGACAGCAACUGACGGUGAGGCGCGAAAGCGUGGGGAGCAAACAGGAUUAGAUACCCUUGUAGUC